CCUUCUCCUUCUCUUGUAUCAGCCAAGAAGUAAUUAGUGAGGAUAAUGGAGCUGAACUCUUUGGAGCUUGCUCGAUCAAAGGGGACCAGCUGAGAAAGCUUUGGGUAUUUAGGUAAUAGAUUGGUCCUCAGCUCAAGUUGGGUGGUGGAGUUGAUGCUGUGGAGAAGUUUAUGUGUUGUGAGCUGAAAAGAAAGUUGUGGAAGCUGAGUAUCAGCUGUGGAACCUUGAAAUUAAGGAAAUUGCAGUUUGGUGAAUUGGGCAGCAGAAUUGGAGAAAGUUCCUGCUGUGGCAGUAGCCGAACAGGAAGCUUGGGCUAUUCGAAUUGAGAGAAAGAGCGAGAUUUGGUGAGAUAUCUAAGACAAGGAGCUAUCUAGUAGGAGAAUUGGGCCUUUUGAAUUGAGAGUGAUCUAGAGAAUUAUCAAAUAAAGUGGACAGAUCAAGCUGUGUUGAGCUGUUGGGAUUGCCAAAGUGGAGACCCAAUUGUGAAGCUGUUGCGGCUUCAGGAAUUGCUGGGCAUCCAGAUUCAAAGAGGGAGUGAAGGUUGACAGCUUGCUAAUUAAUUGAGCAGGAGGAGCUCAAAAUUGAGGUCGGCGACGCGUUAAUCAGGAUAGUAGCCAUUUUGGGCUCUAUUUGCAUCGAGUUGCGAGAGCUAGUUAUCGACGCGUUCCGAGACGUGGAUUUUAAUUGUUGACACCACUACAGGUUCCAGUGCGAGCGGUGUGGCCGAGGAUCGUGGUAAGAGCCCCGCAGCCUAGCUAGCUGACACCAGAGUAUAGUAGUUUACCAUUUUGAGUUCAUGUGAGACAUGUAAUGAAUGUAUUAUAAAGCAUGUAAAUCACGAAAUAUUUCAGUUAUACAGUUCUGUUUGAAAGUUUUAAGUUACAAUGAAUUUUAUGUUUAGUUAACUUACUAUCACUUGUGAUUGUUGCUUGCCCUCGUGCAAGCCAUGUA
Molecule: long non-coding RNA, 951 nt
Organism: Ananas comosus (pineapple)
Lineage: Eukaryota; Viridiplantae; Streptophyta; Magnoliopsida; Poales; Bromeliaceae
Exons: 6
Source: RefSeq, a predicted model, not a curated record